GUUGGUGACGGACUGUGUGUAAAGGCUCAGAACACAUGAUUCUACUUCAGGAGGCAAAUUCAGAGGAACAGUGCCCAGAUGGGGCCUGGCUCCUCCACACACGUAACAAUUGGUCUUAUUGUGUGAGUUGGCAUUAUACCUCAUCCAUUCUAGCCACAAAUUAGUGUCUGAAAAACCAGUUUCCACUGCCAUAGUGUCUUCAAAGGUGGGGUUGGCUAUAGCUACCAUGUCAUGUAGUGGUUUUAAUGGGUUAACGACCAUGUGAGUGGUCCCUACCCAGUCUGGGGAGGUGAGCAUGUCUUGUAGGUAGAAUGUCCCCAGUGC
Pelobates cultripes (western spadefoot toad) is the source of this 324-nucleotide non-coding RNA. The record is from the annotation of a GenBank genome assembly. NCBI's taxonomy places the organism in Eukaryota, Metazoa, Chordata, Amphibia, Anura, Pelobatidae.